Molecule: ribosomal RNA, 376 nt
Filed under: uncultured bacterium
Lineage: Bacteria
Description: bacterial SSU rRNA
Rfam family: Bacterial small subunit ribosomal RNA
Source: RNAcentral
UACGUAGGGGGCGAGCGUUGUCCGGAAUUACUGGGCGUAAAGGGUGCGUAGGUGGCCUUUUAAGUUGGAUGUGAAAUACCCGGGCUUAACUUGGGGGGUGCAUCUAAUACUGGAAGGCUAGAGUGCAGGAGAGAAAAGCGGAAUUCCUAGUGUAGCGGUGAAAUGCGUAGAUAUUAGGAGGAACACCAGUGGCGAAGGCGGCUUUCUGGACUGUAACUGACACUGAGGCACGAAAGCGUGGGGAGCAAACAGGAUUAGAUACCCUGGUAGUCCACGCGGUAAACGAUGAAUACUAGGUGCAGGGGGUAUCAACCCCCCCUGUGCCGCAGCUAACGCAAUAAGUAUUCCGCCUGGGGAGUACGGCCGCAAGGUUGAA